This is a non-coding RNA of Peromyscus maniculatus bairdii (prairie deer mouse), 159 nucleotides long. The record is from RefSeq and is a predicted model, not a curated record. Lineage: Eukaryota; Metazoa; Chordata; Mammalia; Rodentia; Cricetidae.
CGGCGCCCUCGGAGCUCAGAAGAGGAUGGGAAUUCGCGCGGGGUACUUCCUGUGAAGGCGCGAGUGUGCCUUGGGACUCUUCCCGGAAUGCACGUAUGGAUUUGUCGGGUGAAUUUAGUGCUGGAAGUGAGGUAGGUCAAGAAAGACGUUGAAGCACUG